Long non-coding RNA from Oreochromis niloticus (Nile tilapia), 2780 nucleotides. Lineage: Eukaryota; Metazoa; Chordata; Actinopteri; Cichliformes; Cichlidae. The record is from Ensembl.
UGUAUUAAACUGAGAUAUUUUACUGUUUCAUGAGAUCAUUUUGUAUUUGAUGGCAGCAGAUCUCAGGUCAGUGACAUGAUCGGGUACAAAGAGUCUGAGAGAGGCCGAGUUUCUCUGAAAUAAACAAGUUGAUCAGUCUGCACAUCUGCAGAGGCUCCAUCAGAGCUGACAGGUGGAUGCAGAGGAAACAUGAGCCCGUCCAGCGUUUACAGACGUGUUGCUGCCAUCAGAUUCAAAAUGAGCUCUCUCAGUUUAAACAUGUGAAAUGUUUUCUAUCUUCUAUUGUGAAUAAAAUGUGGCUUCAUGAGAUUUGAACAUUAUUUGACACCAACGACCUUUUUGCAGCUGUAAAUGUUUAGUUUGUCACAACCAGAUCAAAAAGUAAGAACUUGUUGUGAUUUGUGUAAAAUGUGUGAGGCUGAGUUCCUGCUGUCACUGAUGCAGCUCACAUGUAUCAGCCUCACCCUCCUCGUGCUUCAUGCUGCCUGGAUUUAAUCCUCACUUCCUUUCUGUGGCUCUUUGUAAGAUCUCUGAUCACUUUCAUUAAAGUUCUCACUGACUGUUGGAUCUCUUCAUAUUUUACAGUGAUGAGAUUUUCUGCUUCUGAGGAAGUGAAGAAGAACCUGACGGGCACUGUGGGAGGAAACAUCACUCUACCUGCACCUGUGCAGGAGAAAGCAUUUCUGUCAUAUGGAGGAAAGAAUAUUGCUGAUGUGAAUAAGGGGGAAUUUGAAAUAUUUGGGGAAAUUUACAUGAACCGACUUCAGUGGGACAGAAACUCUGGACUCUUUACACUCACAGAGCUGCAGAGGGACGACUCAGGGAUUUAUACUGUCGACUCUAAAACAGGAAACGUUUUCACAUCAUCAUAUAAGCUGACAGUGUACGACUCUGUACCGACUCCUGCAGUGAAGAAAGUGAGUGUGAGCUCUGAGAGCUGCUCCUUACUGUGUUUGGUGGACAGAGAGACCAAACUGCUGUGGUUUAAAGACGAGCAGAGACUGAACCAGAGCAGCUCUGCGCUCUCUCUGCCUCUCACUGUGCACAAACAGGACUUCAACUCCUCUUACAGAUGUGUGGCUGCAAACCCUGCAGAGAAUAAAACUCUUCCUGUCCAUGUGAGAACGACCUGUGGAGACACCAACAACGACACCAACAGCUCGACUGAACCAAGAAGCUAUAACAUCCUCAUUAUAAUCUUCUGUGUCCUGAGUGCUACCCUCAUCAUCAUCAUCAUCAUCCUCAUCAUGAGGAGGAAGCAUCCUGUCCAAGACAAGUUUAACCUCCUACAAGCUGCAGGCAGGGCUCCUGUGGAUGAAGUGGUCCUUUAUACUGACACAGGUGACAGCAGACAGGUGGGUACCUGCUCACACCGUCAGCUCAGAGCUCAUGUUCAUGCAGCUCAGUGGAAGCUGACUACAUGCAGACACACGACAAACACAUGAAACACUAAAGUCAGGAGUGUGUUGGAGUCACAGUUCUUCUGCUGGAACAUGAACUUCCACACAGAUCACAUUCUCCCUCUGGCUGCUCUCCACCAGGAGAAGAAGCUGUCUCCCACUUCCAUGUUUCACUGCGUUGCUCAUUCCCGUGUUUUUCCUUCUCCAGGGUGGGAUUUUAGCGGCUGUAUCAGGAACCAGUGAUGGCUCCAGUCUGACAGCAGUGUCUUAUAAACUGGUGCUCGUCACAUGAGAGAGGUGUGACUGGCUGCAACAUCCGAGGAAAGCUGGACUCUGGAAAGAAGUUUUCCUUUGGUAUUGAUGAUUUGGAUUGGUUAUGACUAAAGUGUAUUUUUACAGUGUGAAUGUGCCACAGAAGAGUUUUCACCUACGUCAUCAUGACCUCUGACCUGCUCCUCUGACACUGAUCGUAAAAGACUGUAUCCAGACAAUGGACAGAGGACGCAGCUGUACGUCAUGUUUACCUGUCAAAUCAUUCAAAUGAUGCAACAAAGCAAAGACUUUUCUCUCUGUCACCUACCUGCUGCCUUGAGUCCUCUCUCCUCGCAUCUCUUCCUCGCCUCCUCUGUUUGCAUCCUCAGAGGGAGGGUCAAGGAUGAGGGGAGAGGAGGUGAGGGAAGGAAACUCGCCUGUACCAGGUGAGAAGACGGACUUUGGAAGAAUCUGAGGUGAACCUUCACGUCUCCUCUUCAUGGUUUACCUUCAUGGACUCUGAAGGCCUGGUAGUAGGUCUGGGACUAGUAGGACCAGGUCUGUGUGUGAGGAGGAGCAGCUGGGCUUGGAAGAAAGGAGCAGAGACUGAAUCACAUUUGAUUCUGAUCAAUAUUCCUUUAAAGGUUUAUUUGUGAUGUGACUGCAUGUAGAUCUCCAGGACGAGCCUCACUGCUGCUCUGAGGACUGAAAGCUUCACUGAGCUCUGAUUUAUUUCUCUGCUUUUAAUUCACACCUUUAAUUUCACACUUUUGUCCACAGUUCAAACUCCAGCAGCUCACAGAGCUCAUCACUGCCUCCGUCAGCUCACAGGGCGCCCCCGUGUGGUCACUGACGAGCUGUUCACAAAUUACUUUUAGAUUUGAUGUCAUUUAUUCUCAUCUUCCUGACUGUUGCUGCAAAUACAUGAAAUAAAUAACAGAAGCUUUGUGAGUGUUUCUGAACUCUUCCUACUUUUUGACUUCCAAACCUAAAACAGGAAACAUCCACACACAUCCUCAGCUCCACGUGGAGCAGAUCAAAAUGACCAUAGCAAAGAGCUAACGGUUCACACAGUGCAGAGCUGCUUAUUUCCUGCAGUUAGUGACGUUUGGAGCACAGCUGCUGUCA